RNAcentral lists this ribosomal RNA (446 nucleotides) under uncultured bacterium. RNAcentral's name for it is "partial 16S ribosomal RNA". It matches the Rfam family "Bacterial small subunit ribosomal RNA", at positions 329 to 792 of the family's 1533-position model. The record is from RNAcentral.
AUCCAGACUCCUACGGGAGGCAGCAGUGGGGAAUAUUGCACAAUGGGGGAAACCCUGAUGCAGCGACGCCGCGUGGGUGAAGAAGUAAUUCGUUAUGUAAAGCUCUAUCAGCAGGGAAGAAAAUGACGGUACCUGAGUAAGAAGCCCCGGCUAACUACGUGCCAGCAGCCGCGGUAAUACGUAGGGGGCAAGCGUUAUCCGGAUUUACUGGGUGUAAAGGGAGCGUAGACGGCGAUGCAAGUCUGAAGUGAAAGGCGGGGGCCCAACCCCCGGACUGCUUUGGAAACUGUAUGGCUGGAGUGCAGGAGAGGUAAGUGGAAUUCCUAGUGUAGCGGUGAAAUGCGUAGAUAUUAGGAGGAACACCGGUGGCGAAGGCGGCCUGCUGGACUGCGACUGACGUUGAGGCCCGAAAGCGUGGGGAGCAAACAGGAUUAGAUACCCUUGUA